This 155-nucleotide ribosomal RNA is filed under the name Cephalotus follicularis. Its description in RNAcentral is "5.8S ribosomal RNA". It matches the Rfam family "5.8S ribosomal RNA". Rfam says of the family: 5.8S ribosomal RNA (5.8S rRNA) is a component of the large subunit of the eukaryotic ribosome. It is transcribed by RNA polymerase I as part of the 45S precursor that also contains 18S and 28S rRNA. Functionally, it is thought that 5.8S rRNA may be involved in ribosome translocation. The record is from Rfam by way of RNAcentral. Lineage: Eukaryota; Viridiplantae; Streptophyta; Magnoliopsida; Oxalidales; Cephalotaceae.
CAGUUGCAUUGUUGUAAAACUAGAAUUCACAUCGAUGAAGAACGUAGCGAAAUGCGAUACUUGGUGUGAAUUGCAGAAUCCCAUGAACCAUCGAGUUUUUGAACGCAAGUUGUGCCCCAAGCCAUUAGGCUGAGGGAACGUCUGCCUGGGUGUCA